AUGUCGCCCUCGAGGCCGCGCCCCGCCGCCUCCAGCUCCGGCGACCUGCCCGCGGACGCGCUGUACGAGGUCCUCCUCCGCAUCCCGGCCAAGGAGCUCUGCCGCCUCCGCGCCGUCUGCCCCGCCUGGCGCGCCCUCACCUCCGACCCGCUCUUCGCCGCGGCGCACAAGUCCCGCCACCACACGGCGCCCCCGCUCCUCGCCAUGGGCUACCGCGACGACAGUGGGGUCAGCGGCGUUGCGAUUUCGGAUCUGUCGGGCAACGUCGUGAAGCGGACUCCAGGCAACGAGUAUGAACUUGUUUUCGUGAAUGAGUCGGGUGAUGCCAUUGGCCGGUUCACAAGCAAGGACGAUAGCAUCUGUGUUGUGCGCACGCGGCUGGACCUCGUCUGUUUCAACAGGAAUGCCCUCUGUGGGUUCUUCUGGGUGCUGAACCCAGCCACUGGAGCUACCAUCGACUUGCCAAUGGGCUUCUCUGAGGAAAUUGCGCAUGAGCUAGAGGUGAAGGGAAUAAAGGAAUGUAGCUGCCGACGUGAGUUGUGUGCUUUUGGGCAGGUCUCCUCUAGCAGGGAGUACAAGGUGCUCCGCAUCUCUAGAGUUGAUGACCGGAAGGUAUGUGAGGUUAUCACCUUUGAUGACACCAACCAUGGAUGCUGGAGGAGAAAGCAGGACCCUCCGUCCCAUAUCUGUACCAGUCACAGGAUGAGAUAUGCGGUCGUCGAUGGGGUGGUGUACUUCCUGAUGGAAUUUUGCUACUCUAAUUAUGAAACUGGAGUUAUUACCAUUGAACCUGGUAGCGUAGCUUCUUUCAACCUCGACACAGAGGAGUGGAUGGGUGUUCUACGUGGUCCAGAACAGCUGGAGAGGUUUUUGCAAGAGAACGGGGGAUACACUUACUCGGGACUUGAACACGAGUUAUCAUUGACUGAGUUGAAAGGCUGCUUAGUUGUGGUUCAUAAUAUUUACAAAGUAUCUAUGGACUUGUGGUUUUUGACAGACUUUGAGAACGGUAUUUGGGUCAAGAAAUACAGCUUGCCUUCACAUGUUGCUAGGCUUUUUUGGUAUCCUUUUCUCAUGUUAGAUGAUGGGAGAAUUUUCUUCAGUGGGAUGGAUUGUCUGGAAGGUAUAUUAAGUGGUGGAGAGAAAGGAGAGGGAUUUCUGCAAUGUUAUGAUCCAAGGAAUGGCACAUGUACUGAUGAACUAAAACUGAGAGAUCCCCGAUCAAUCGGCAUUUACACAGGAAGCCUGCUGAGUUUAUAG
This 1260-nucleotide ribosomal RNA is filed under the name Triticum aestivum (bread wheat). RNAcentral's name for it is "partial small subunit ribosomal RNA". Lineage: Eukaryota; Viridiplantae; Streptophyta; Magnoliopsida; Poales; Poaceae. The record is from RNAcentral.